UACGUAGGGGGCGAGCGUUGUCCGGAAUUACUGGGCGUAAAGGGCGUGUAGGCGGCCUGUUAAGUCAGGCGUGAAAACCCCGGGCUUAACCUGGGGACUGCGUUUGAAACUGGCGGGCUUGAGGGCAGGAGAGGAAAGUGGAAUUCCCGGUGUAGCGGUGAUAUGCGUAGAUACCGGGAGGAACACCAGUGGCGAAGGCGGCUUUCUGGACUGCACCUGACGCUGAGGCGCGAAAGCCAGGGGAGCGAACGGG
RNAcentral lists this ribosomal RNA (253 nucleotides) under uncultured bacterium. Its description in RNAcentral is "partial 16S ribosomal RNA". It matches the Rfam family "Bacterial small subunit ribosomal RNA", at positions 524 to 776 of the family's 1533-position model. The record is from RNAcentral.